UGAGGAAUAUUGGUCAAUGGGCGAGAGCCUGAACCAGCCAAGUAGCGUGCAGGAUGACGGCCCUAUGGGUUGUAAACUGCUUUUAUAAGGGAAUAAAGUGAGCCUCGUGAGGCUUUUUGCAUGUACCUUAUGAAUAAGGACCGGCUAAUUCCGUGCCAGCAGCCGCGGUAAUACGGAAGGUCCGGGCGUUAUCCGGAUUUAUUGGGUUUAAAGGGAGCGUAGGCCGGAGAUUAAGCGUGUUGUGAAAUGUAGACGCUCAACGUCUGCACUGCAGCGCGAACUGGUUUCCUUGAGUACGCACAAAGUGGGCGGAAUUCGUGGUGUAGCGGUGAAAUGCUUAGAUAUCACGAAGAACUCCGAUUGCGAAGGCAGCUCACUGGAGCGCAACUGACGCUGAAGCUCGAAAGUGCGGGUAUCGAACAGGAUUAGAUACCCUGGUAGUCCGCACGGUAAACGAUGGAUGCCCGCUGUUGGUCUGAACAGGUCAGCGGCCAAGCGAAAGCAUUAAGCAUCCCACCUGGGGAGUACGCCGGCAACGGUGAAACUCAAAGGAAUUGACGGGGGCCCGCACAAGCGGAGGAACAUGUGGUUUAAUUCGAUGAUACGCGAGGAACCUUACCCGGGCUUGAAUUGCAGAGGAAGGAUUUGGAGACAAUGACGCCCUUCGGGGUCUCUGUGAAGGUGCUGCAUGGUUGUCGUCAGCUCGUGCCGUGAGGUGUCGGCUUAAGUGCCAUAACGAGCGCAACCCCUCUCCUUAGUUGCCAUCAGGUCAAGCUGGGCACUCUGGGGACACUGCCACCGUAAGGUGUGAGGAAGGUGGGGAUGACGUCAAAUCAGCACGGCCCUUACGUCCGGGGCUACACACGUGUUACAAUGGCAGGUACAGAGAGAUGGUGUUCUGCAAAGCGCAUCAAAUCCUUAAAGCCUGUCUCAGUUCGGACUGGGGUCUGCAACCCGACCCCACGAAGCUGGAUUCGCUAGUAAUCGCGCAUCAGCCAUGGCGCGGUGAAUACGUUCCC
This 1019-nucleotide ribosomal RNA is filed under the name uncultured bacterium. Its description in RNAcentral is "bacterial SSU rRNA". It matches the Rfam family "Bacterial small subunit ribosomal RNA", at positions 355 to 1375 of the family's 1533-position model. The record is from RNAcentral.